Molecule: long non-coding RNA, 1498 nt
Organism: Trachemys scripta elegans
Lineage: Eukaryota; Metazoa; Chordata; Testudines; Emydidae
Exons: 3
Source: RefSeq, a predicted model, not a curated record
ACACACACACACUUACUUUUAAAGCCACUUGCCACAAAACUUCAGGGCUCUGCAUUAGUUUGGGGUGGGGGAACCUGGAGCCUCAGCGGGCACGAGAUCUUAGGCAGGGCACGCCAGGCUGCAACCUGACAGAGUGCUCCUAUGUAAUCCCCUCACCGCCUCGCACUGAACCGCUGCGGGUCCCCCAACCUCAUCCCUGAAAAGAAAGCUGAGCCCAGCCAAGGACCAGAAGGCCUUGCAGUUUCUCUCUCACACCAGCACCCCCAGGCACCAGACGUGCAUCAGAUCCGGGGCAGCAGCAGGAGAGCCAGAAGUGUUGGUCACUUGCUAUGCUGGCUAUGAAGGGAACAGGAAGUACCUGAGAGAUGGGAAGAGCUAUGUAGAGUGCUGGAUAAACAUUGCCUGCUUCAGCCUCCUGUGAAAUACUGUCUCCGUUUUACACACAGAUGGGGGAAACUGAGGCACCAAGUGAGUAAAGCAACAUACUCGAAGUCUUAGAGCAAGACAGCUGCAGAGCUGGGUACAGCCCCCAGGAGCCCUGAGCCCACUCCCUGGCUUUAAGCACCAGACCAAUGCUGCUGGUGGAGGUAUGGGAAGACUGCAUGAGAUAUUCAGCAAGAUGUGCAACUACCAAUGUACCUGAAGGUAUCUAUGAACAGUGCUGACAGCUUUGCAGAUGCCAGCCUGUUCUGCCUCUCUUGCCAACAAAAUCUGAAUCAAACUUUCAUUUUUCUUAAAAUAACUGGACAAAAUGUUCCCAAAAUAUGAAGGGUUUCCAUGGCAAUGCCUGUAUUUGCUAGUGGUAGGGUUGAAAUUGACCAGGUUACUUGCUACCUGUCCACGCAUCCAAACAUAAACUUUCUCUGAGUGGAAUAAUAUUAUGAGCCUGACUUCAGUAACUUCCUCUGUCCUGCUCCCAGAACCAGGUCCAAGAGAUCGGUGGUCUCAACUUAUUCUUUUAACAUCCACCCCACCCCGAUGGUGAGCAUCAGCAGAAAUAAUGUGGACUGAAUAUCUGCACUGCUAAUCCUUCUCUCUGGACCCAGCUGCCUCUGAUCAGAGGUCCAUGUGGGAGGCCUCUGGUGGGGCGGUGCUGAAGGCACUAUCUGUAGCUGCUGCCUUAAUGCCACAAGUGAUUAGCAGAAAAACAGAAGCAAACUUUUUCCAGAUUCCAGGGACAUAUCUACCGAAUGCUAGAGAACAGAUCUACUCAUUCAGACAUUCUUCAUCCGGAAUAUUUUCUUGUUGGACAACCGUAAGUCCCUUCCAAGUGGAUUAAAGAGACACCCUGGCCAGACAUUCCAGCUGCCUAUUGUCUCGAAGCACUGAGAAGGUGAAUCUGCACCUACCUCAAUGCAGACCAGAGCAUCUUAGGAGCUUCUCUAACAUGGACCAUCUGAGACACAGUCUCUAACGGACUAUACACCAGCUGGGAAUAGCUGCAGUUCAGCAUGUGUUGGCCACACCCUCUGCCUGAGCUCUAUGCCAGGGCUGAGUU